GUCACACCAUGGGAGUGGGUUGCUCCAGAAGUAGCUAGUCUAACCGCAAGGAGGACGGUUACCACGGAGUGAUUCAUGACUGGGGUGAAGUCGUAACAAGGUAGCCGUAGGGGAACCUGCGGCUGGAUCACCUCCUUAAUCGAAGACAUCAGCUUCUUCAUAAGCUCCCACACGAAUUGCUUGAUUCACUUGCGAAAAGCGAUUGGGUUUAGACCCGAAAGUGUGACGAUUGGGUCUGUAGCUCAGUUGGUUAGAGCGCACCCCUGAUAAGGGUGAGGUCGGCAGUUCGAAUCUGCCCAGACCCACCAAUUGUCGAGGGCGCAGCAGGUCUGAAGGGGCCAUAGCUCAGCUGGGAGAGCGCCUGCUUUGCACGCAGGAGGUCAGGAGUUCGAUCCUCCUUGGCUCCACCAUCCACACAAUCGCUGAAAGCUCAGAAAUGAGUACCUGGUUCAGGUAUUGAUUUCUGGUCUUUGCGCCAGAACGUUCUUUAAAAAUUUGGGUAUGUGAUAGAAGUGACUUGUUGAGUGUUUCACUGCACUCAGCAACUCAAGGCAAAAUUUGCGAGUUCAAGCGCGAAUUUUCGGCGAAUGUCGUCUUCACACCAUGACCACUGGCAGAUUGCUUGGGGUUAUAUGGUCAAGUGAAGAAGCGCAUACGGUGGAUGCCUUGGCAGUCAGAGGCGAUGAAAGACGUGGUAGCCUGCGAUAAGCUUCGGGGAGUCGGCAAACAGACUUUGAUCCGGAGAUCUCUGUG
This 753-nucleotide unclassified non-coding RNA is filed under the name Pseudomonas sp. GUDBPKA301. RNAcentral describes it as "partial contains 16S ribosomal RNA, 16S-23S ribosomal RNA intergenic spacer, and 23S ribosomal RNA". The stretch from base 1 to 138 matches the Rfam family "Bacterial small subunit ribosomal RNA", at positions 1396 to 1533 of the family's 1533-position model. The record is from RNAcentral. Lineage: Bacteria; Pseudomonadati; Pseudomonadota; Gammaproteobacteria; Pseudomonadales; Pseudomonadaceae.